GGCACUAGGAGCCGAUGAAGGACGUGAUAAGCUGCGAUAAGCUUCGGGGAGUUGCACGUAAACUUUGAUCCGAAGAUUUCCGAAUGAGGAAACUCACUUAGAGCAAUGUCUAAGUAUCAUUAAGUGAAUACAUAGCUUAAUGAGGGGAACUCAGGGAACUGAAACAUCUAAGUACCUGAAGGAAGAGAAAGAAAUUCGAUUCCGUAAGUAGCGGCGAGCGAACGCGGAUUAGCCCAAACCAAUAAAGUUUUCUUUAUUGGGGUUGCGGACAUAUCAUAACGAAGAGGUAUCGUAAUUGAAGAGGUUUGGAAAGACCCCCCACAGAAGGUAAUAGUCCUGUAUGUUAAACGAGAAGACUUCAGAUAUGAUCCAGAGUACCACGGGACACGUGAAACCCUGUGGGAAGCAGGAGGGACCACCCUCCAAGGCUA
Molecule: ribosomal RNA, 431 nt
Filed under: Clostridioides difficile
Lineage: Bacteria; Bacillati; Bacillota; Clostridia; Peptostreptococcales; Peptostreptococcaceae
Description: partial 23S ribosomal RNA
Rfam family: Bacterial large subunit ribosomal RNA
Source: RNAcentral